GCGCCCCACGGGUAGGAGGAAAUCACACAUAGUCGACACAUGUAAAGCUAUAGCCAAAUUACUGGCACAACACAGACUAUAUGAUGCCUGGCGAACAUUACACCCCAAACAGGCUGACUACACGUUUCACUCGAAAGUCCACAACACAUAUACCCGAAUAGACACAUGGUCGGACCACGGCCCAGUACACCUACACCUACAUGAUAACUUUCAAUUCAGAGGGCAAGGGCAAUGGCGCCUUAACGAAUCGCUCCUGGCAAAGGCUGCGUUUAGAGAUUCGAUCCAGACCGCACUGACGGAAUACUUCCAAACGAACGGGACAGGGCAGGUCACAGACAGCAUGGUGUAGAGCGCCCAUAAAGCCGUAGUCAGCGGGCUUUUUAUUAAAAGGUCCUCCUAUAUUAA
Non-coding RNA from Pelobates cultripes (western spadefoot toad), 405 nucleotides. Lineage: Eukaryota; Metazoa; Chordata; Amphibia; Anura; Pelobatidae. The record is from the annotation of a GenBank genome assembly.